Molecule: long non-coding RNA, 1886 nt
Organism: Xenopus laevis (African clawed frog)
Lineage: Eukaryota; Metazoa; Chordata; Amphibia; Anura; Pipidae
Exons: 6
Source: RefSeq, a predicted model, not a curated record
CCAGUAAGGAUGUGGUUUUGCCUCAAUCCCUGUGCAGGUAGUUGAAGAAAGAAUAAGAGCAAUCUUAAAGCUGUAUCUGAGUUCUCCACGAAGCACAGAUGUCCUAGCAAAGCUAUGGGUCUCAUUGCAUGUAAUGUGGUGGGACGCAUGUUCUGAUGUCAGACUGAGCUACCAUGCUGAAUGCAAGGUGCAGCAUGGAGCGGUGGUUGAGGAGGAUAUAUUCUGCCUUUGGCACACACAGGCACUGUGACAGUCAAACGCCAUAUGUGAAUGGGCUCUACUUGUCCUUGCACCUGAUGAAUUAGAUGAUGGGUAUAUGCUCAUCCUUUAACUUACAUUGAAAUACCUGUUCCUCUCCAAGUGCUCAACAGUUGUUGUAAUCAUGAACAUCCAAUUAAACUAAAAAACUGAACUAUUAAACUGAAGUGCAGUAUCUUAUUAAUCUAUAUUAAUAAUUGUUGUGCUUUUUGACUGUAAUAGAGUGAAAACAAUAAUAACCCUGCCCUCAUACACGUUGCCAGCAAGUGUCAUUUUUUUACAUGCUUUUUCUUUGAGCACUGUUUGAUUCCUGACGAAGGUCCUUGUGGGGGGACCGAAACGUUGAGCAAACUAAACCUUCGGAAGAUUGAUUCAGCAAGUCCUGGUUCUCUGGGGCACAGAUGAGGAAUACACAUUACAUAAUGUGAAACUAAAAUCAGUAGACCUCACCUGGGAAUGACUCCAACCAGAGAAAGAGUGAAAGCAACUGACUGUGGAGUUUCUAAAUAUGAGUCAGAACUGGAGGUGUAUGCCUACCCAGCCUGGGAUGAUGUCACUGUACAUACCAGACACUAUGGUGAGAGAAACCACGUACAGUGUAGAACCUAAGCACAGAACAGAACAGGAAGAUGCUCCAUAAGAAGACCUCCAAUUUCCAUAUUCAGAAGGCACCCUGCAGAGCUCACCUUAAAGAAGUGGCCUGGAGUUCCAACUCAAACCAGAGAGAUCUAUUUGUACAAGACUGGCUUGCUUUAAAGAGCAAGUAACUAAUUGGCUGCUGAGGACUCACUUAGAACCUAUAUUAUUACCCUGUUAGGCUACCUUUUUUUGCACUUUGCAUUAAAUAAGACACACAGGAUGCCCAAUAGGGUGUAUUCCCUUUACCCACUCACAGUCAUAUAAGAUCACAAUGCUCAUUCUGGUUUCAAUGGUCAUUAUUUGAUGCAGCAUGAAAUAUCUCUAAAUACAUCAUGUAUUUAGUAUUUAAACAAAGAAACCUAUGCUGCCAAUCCCAGCAGCACCCCUAAGCCAACUCUCACUUACUGUUACGUCUGGGUUUUCACAGCACAGAACAGAACAGGAAGAUGCUCCAUAAGAAGACCUCCAAUUUCCAUAUUCAGAAGGCACCCUGCAGAGCUCACCUUAAAGAAGUGGCCUGGAGUUCCAACUCAAACCAGAGAGAUCUAUUUGCUUUUGUCCUAGCCUAAUGGAGCUGCCUCCGAACCCCAGUGUUUGUACCCAAGUGAGCCUCCAUUGGAAGGGUAUAAGCAGAGAUAUAAACUUACCACCAGAUCCAUGAAAUGUAUAUUCAAGAGGUCUUGCAGUGUGACUGCUAUAAAGGAGCAACUGCCAUUCUGCAGUUGAAUGUUACUUUGAGACAGACAGCGCAACCAGGAUACUGCAUAAAGUGUUUUGGCUUGGACUUCAUUGCAUUGACUGAACUUUGUCUUUGAUGUAUUUGUCUAAGGCUAGUGGCCUAGACAACUGAUUCCCAGGCAGAAUUGAUAUAUAGGCCGAGAAUCAUUCCCAAGUAGACAGUAAUUCUGCUAAGGAAUGUGUCAUAUUGCUCUCCUUAGACAGCUUCAUUAAAAUAAAAGUUACCAUUAUAACUAUUAUAUCUGUUACUA